GAACCUGAACGCAUCAUUUGACUCCAGAACAAAGUGCAGUUUGUGGUUGUGACCGUGAACUAGACACGACAUGUUCAGGUGAAGGUACUUCGCUGUCAGCGAAGUUUGUUCUCAGCUUCAUGUAGUAUCACAGUGCAGUCACACCUGUCGCAGGUUACCUCAGAGAGACGACAGGUAAACUCAGGCAGGUUUGAUAAAAACAACAACACCAGAUUUUCUUAAACCCUGGACCUUCAAGGUGAAAAUCCAGAGUCCAGACCACUGGACCACAGAGGACUGAACUCAACUGACCUGGAAAGAACAAGGACCAGGUCUGUAAUCUGAUGGGGGGAGGCCUUUUUCAUUUCCAGCCAGUCCAUCACACCAGACUCCCGCUCCGUCCAUGAGACAGAAGCCAUUUUGUCGGCUCUAAAAUAGAAUAAAGAAUCCAUUAUUCAUGGCGGAGCCCUGGAGGAGCUCAUUAAACUCCACACAGCAGAGACGGCCUCGUCUUAAACGUAUCUCUGCUCGACUCAGACGAGUCGUCCUCGCUUUGAUGUGACGGAGAGAAUCAAACUGCUCCGAGUUCAGUUUUCAGCACAGAGUCAGCUCACAGUGUACGGAGGACGAAACACGACCAAUCACAAUAUUUAAUGAUAAACAGGCUGUGGAUAAAGAUCAGGAAAUGAUUCUCAAAGGAACUAAAAUAAAUUUGGAAUUUAUCAAAAUGGAAACUGACGGUCAGAGUCGACUGUUCUGUUAUUAAUAGAAAAAUGUUUUAUUUCAUCUUGAUAAACAUAAUAUUUGACUUUACAGUGAUGUUAUCAGUUUGUUUCACCUUUAGUUUCUAGGAUUAAUAAACAGAGUUUUAAACAUUAAUUUCAUGUGUUUACAAUCACAGAAUGUUUAACUUUUACUGUCACACGUAGUUAUUUAUCGUCAUGAUUAAUACUUUGUAGAAUUUAUUUUAGUUUGAUUUUCUCUUUAGGCAGAAUGAAAUAGAACAAGAAACUAUGGAGCCGUGUUCAGUGUGAGAAAAUGUAUUUGGCCACUGACUCUGAACAAAGUGUGAAAUACUCACCAGUGAAUAUUCAGCAGCUGAAGCUUCACCACAGCUGGUUCUGGACAUAUUUUAGUUGGUGGGACAGUUAAAGUCCUGAUGAGGAGGCAGAGACCAGCUACCAGGAUUUUGACCUUUGACCCUGAGCCUCUGACAGUCUGACAGUGAUGUUUUUAUUCACAGUGAGAAAGCUCAGAAAAAUCAGCCUCCUUCCAAAUAUAAAUCACUUUUUCAUAAUAUUCGUGCGCUGUGUGUAAAUACCUGUGUUUGACCUGUUGGGCGUCUCUUCACCUGCUGCAGGGUUUAAUCCUGGUUCCUCUCACACACAGUUCAUUUAGUUUCCUCCAGUAGUUAAACACUUGACCAAACGCUUUUAUUCAGAUUUUUGGCUCCUGUUGUUUGUCCAGUUCUGCUGUUUUCCCUCAGCUCCCCCCUCGACAGCUCAGACCUUCAGCUGUAGUAAAACUUUAAAACUGUCCAUCGCUUCACUCUGUUCUGGAUCCAGUUUAGAACUGAACUCUAUAAAAGCCAAGUAGUGAGUUUAGGUCAUAAUUAAAUUAGAGAGGGUGUAAUAUUAUCAGUGUGUGUUUCUCUGGCUUUAGUUCAGAUGUCCAUCAGACACUAAAACUGAUUUUCCUUCUGCAUUUUAUACCUUUUCCACUUUGUUCUCCAUGUUUUAUUCAGGCUCUUCGUUUGUAUCUCCUCUUCAGUUUCUCUGACAUGUUUAUUCAUCAUUUUAUCUAUUUUUAAUGUCGUGUUUUAUCC
Molecule: long non-coding RNA, 1804 nt
Organism: Lates calcarifer (barramundi perch)
Lineage: Eukaryota; Metazoa; Chordata; Actinopteri; Centropomidae
Exons: 4
Source: RefSeq, a predicted model, not a curated record